RNAcentral lists this ribosomal RNA (373 nucleotides) under uncultured Glomeromycotina. Its description in RNAcentral is "LSU rRNA". The record is from RNAcentral. Lineage: Eukaryota; Fungi; Glomeromycota.
UUGAAAGGGAAACGAUUGAAGUCAGUCGUACCUGUGGGUAAUCAGCCUUUUGGGUGUGAUUUUGUGGAGUGUGAGGAGUUAAACGCCUUCAUGCCUGCAUAUUCGUGCACUUUGGGUGUAUUUACCCGUGUGGUAAGUUAACAUCAAUUUCGGUGGUCAUAAAAUGGCUGGAGGAAUGUAGCUUUGAUCUCGUAUUGAAGUGUUAUAGCCUUCGGUAGAUGUGAUAAUCGGGAUUGAGGAUUGCAACGGAUACCCUUCGGGGCUACCUGUCUGAUCUCUGAUCGUUGCUCUGGUGCCGAAAGCUUGCUUACGGUUAUCAAAGUCGAUGGUCAAUAGGUUAGAAUGGGUUAAAUUCGUUAAGGAUGUUGACGUA